UACAGAGGAGCCAAGCGUUGUCCGGAUUGACUGGGCGUAAAGCGCACGCAGGCGGCCGUGCACGUGGGGUGUGAAAGCGCUCGGCUUAACUGAGCGAUGCCACCUCAUACGGCAGGGCUCGAGCCCGUGAGAGGUCCACGGAAUUGCCGGUGUAGUGGUGAAAUGCGUAGAGAUCGGCAGGAACACCCAGGGGGGAAACCAGUGGACUGGCACGGUGCUGACGCUCAGGUGCGAAAGCGUGGGGAGCGAACCGG
Molecule: ribosomal RNA, 254 nt
Filed under: uncultured bacterium
Lineage: Bacteria
Description: partial 16S ribosomal RNA
Rfam family: Bacterial small subunit ribosomal RNA
Source: RNAcentral